RNAcentral lists this ribosomal RNA (122 nucleotides) under Vibrio sp. HI00D65. RNAcentral describes it as "partial 16S ribosomal RNA". It matches the Rfam family "Bacterial small subunit ribosomal RNA", at positions 1422 to 1533 of the family's 1533-position model. The record is from RNAcentral. Lineage: Bacteria; Pseudomonadati; Pseudomonadota; Gammaproteobacteria; Vibrionales; Vibrionaceae.
AGAAGUGGGUAGUUUAACCUUCGGGAGGACGCUCACCACUUUGUGGUUCAUGACUGGGGUGAAGUCGUAACAAGGUAGCCCUAGGGGAACCUGGGGCUGGAUCACCUCCUUAUACGAAGAUA